Molecule: long non-coding RNA, 1048 nt
Filed under: Anser cygnoides (Swan goose)
Lineage: Eukaryota; Metazoa; Chordata; Aves; Anseriformes; Anatidae
Description: lncRNA (ENSACDG00005000653.1)
Source: RNAcentral
AAAUGGCGCCCGACCCCAGUAGCACAAGCACGCGUGGGCGUUGGUGGUUUGGGUCUGCCCCAGUGUGCUUGCCUUGGGGUAGCUGCACCUACUGGGGGGUUUGGCCACCAAAACGCUUCGUGGGACCUCCGCAGCCAAGGCCAUGGGGUGAAGCUGCUUCCUUUACAAUCCCCGUGAGGUCUUGGGCCGUUUCCUAUAAAGCGUGCUGGCCCCGUUUCUGAACCACCAGAAAGGGAGUUGUUACUGCGUCCUGCCAGAGAGAAGGAAUGCGUUUCCUCGCCCCCUUACGCUGUGUUCUGGAUUGUUGUCACCGUGGUAGUGUUUGUGGAUUUGGGUUGUUGUUGUUUUUAAGUAAUCCAAACAGUGCUUCAGCGUGUGAGACCGGAUAUUUACCACCUUGGGAUAGACUUGGACAAAACUGAUGACUGUACGGAUGGAAAUGAGAGGAAAGCCACAAGAUUUCCCAGGAUAAUACAGUGCCUCAUUGAGGAACUGAAGAGAAUGCACUGAAAACAAAGGGUGCUGGAGAGAUUCGGGAUGUAAAAAGCAGGCUGAAGAUUUAUAGCUCAGCUGGGACCACGCUUUGCCUCUGGGUUAGAAGGUUGCGUGCUGGAGCUUGGGUAGCCCUUUGGCACGUCCCCUGUGCACAAUCCCCCUUGUAGACGAGCGCAAGUUGCGUGUCCUAAAGUGCUGCUUUUGGUAGUGUCUCUAGCUCGCUGCCUUGGGAAAUCUUUUAGGACAUUUUGUCUAUAGAGGGAACCACGUGAUACUCACUGUUCUCCAAAACCAGGAAGGGCAUUUAGAUCCUUUGUCAAGUGCUUAUGGUGUGGUUGUCUUUCUCCCGUGUCUGUCAUAUUGAUGUGUUAGAAAUUUUCAUUUUGACAAGGAGACGAUAAAGAAGACCAUGUCAACUGCAAGGCUGUGGUUUUUAGAGGUGCUCUAAAUUCAGUAGAAGCUUUGCGACUGAAUUAUUUUGAAUAUCAGACAUAAUAACCAAUUUAUACAGACUGUAAAUAAACAUCAGUUGUGCUGGGUGCUCUGGGAACGC